GCCCGUCUAGCUCAGUCGGUAGAGCGCAAGGCUCUUAACCUUGUGGUCCUGGGUUCAAGUCCCAGGGUGGGCG
Ipomoea nil (Japanese morning glory) is the source of this 73-nucleotide transfer RNA. It matches the Rfam family "tRNA". Rfam says of the family: Transfer RNA (tRNA) molecules are approximately 80 nucleotides in length. Their secondary structure includes four short double-helical elements and three loops (D, anti-codon, and T loops). NCBI's taxonomy places the organism in Eukaryota, Viridiplantae, Streptophyta, Magnoliopsida, Solanales, Convolvulaceae. The record is from Rfam.